GUGAAUCAUCGAAUUUUUGAACGCAAAUUGCACUCUCCGGGGAUCCUAUGCCUAUUUGAGUGUCAGCCUAUAUAAAAUCGACAUCCUUGCUGUUUCGCGGUGGCGUUCGAGGGAAAUUGGGUCAUCUUAAAGCUUUUGGUUUUAAGCGACUUAAACUUUUCCUUUUGGUUCCAUGCACGUUUCUAAUAUUUAUUUCUUUACACGUUUAAGGUAUCUAUUUUUAUUAGACUGGACCUUCAUAUCGGAUCGCG
RNAcentral lists this unclassified non-coding RNA (251 nucleotides) under Glomus sp. RNAcentral's name for it is "partial internal transcribed spacer 2". Lineage: Eukaryota; Fungi; Glomeromycota; Glomeromycetes; Glomerales; Glomeraceae. The record is from RNAcentral.